AUCAAAAGAAAUAUAUAGGUACAAACAUAAGUAGUCUUCCACGAUAGACAGGUUACUAUACAGUGCGUUAUAUUACCUCCACAAUAGACAGGUUACUAUACAGAACGUUAUAUUACAUCCACAAUAGACAGGUUACUAUACAGUGCGUUGUAUUACAUCCACAAUAGACAGGUUACUAUACAGAACGUUAUAUUACAUCCACA
This 203-nucleotide long non-coding RNA is filed under the name Mytilus galloprovincialis (Mediterranean mussel). Lineage: Eukaryota; Metazoa; Mollusca; Bivalvia; Mytilida; Mytilidae. The record is from RNAcentral.